RNAcentral lists this ribosomal RNA (500 nucleotides) under Dihammatus sp. UPOL 000L12. RNAcentral's name for it is "partial large subunit ribosomal RNA". Lineage: Eukaryota; Metazoa; Arthropoda; Insecta; Coleoptera; Lycidae. The record is from RNAcentral.
CAUGGCCUUUUGAUUAUAAUUUAAGGUCUGAUCUGCUCAAUGAUUAAUUAAAUUGCCGCAGUAUUUUGACUGUGCGAAGGUAGCAUAAUAAUUAGUUUCUUGAUUAGAAGCUUGUAUGAAUGAUUGGACAAGAAAUUUACUGUCUCUUUUUAAAUUUUAUUGAAUUUUAUUUUUAAGUUAAAAAGCUUAAAUAUUAAUAAAAGACGAGAAGACCCUAUAGAGUUUUAUAUUUAAUUUUUAUUUAGUUUUUGUAUAAAUUUUGAAUUUUAAAUAUUUAGUUGGGGUGACUUAAAGAUUAAAUAAAUUCUUUUAAUUUUAUAUUGAUGAUUUUUAAUUUUAGAAUCUUGAGUUUUUAAAUUUAAAAUAAAUUACCUUAGGGAUAACAGCGUAAUUUUUCUUAAAAGUUCUUAUUUAAAGAAAAUUUUGCGACCUCGAUGUUGGAUUAAAAUUAAUUUUUGGUGCAAUAACUUAAAAAUUAGGUCUGUUCGACCUUUAAUAUU